Molecule: transfer RNA, 71 nt
Filed under: Chitinophagaceae bacterium
Lineage: Bacteria; Pseudomonadati; Bacteroidota; Chitinophagia; Chitinophagales; Chitinophagaceae
Also listed under: 1 other name
Description: tRNA-Gln
Rfam family: tRNA
About the family: Transfer RNA (tRNA) molecules are approximately 80 nucleotides in length. Their secondary structure includes four short double-helical elements and three loops (D, anti-codon, and T loops).
Source: RNAcentral
UGGCCUAUAGUAUAAUGGUAGUACAACUGAUUUUGGUUCAGUUUGUCUAGGUUCGAAUCCUGGUAGGCCAA